GAUGAACGCUGGCGGCGUGCCUAAUACAUGCAAGUCGAGCGAACGGACGAGAAGCUUGCUUCUCUAAUGUUAGCGGCGGACGGGUGAGUAACACGUGGAUAACCUACCUAUAAGACUGGGAUAACUUCGGGAAACCGGAGCUAAUACCGGAUAAUAUUUUGAACCGCAUGGUUCAAAAGUAAAAGACGGUCUUGCUGUCACUUAUAGAUGGAUCCGCGCUGCAUUAGCUAGUUGGUAAGGUAACGGCUUACCAAGGCAACGAUGCAUAGCCGACCUGAGAGGGUGAUCGGCCACACUGGAACUGAGACACGGUCCAGACUCCUACGGGAGGCAGCAGUAGGGAAUCUUCCGCAAUGGGCGAAAGCCUGACGGAGCAACGCCGCGUGAGUGAUGAAGGUCUUCGGAUCGUAAAACGCUGUUAUUAGGGAAGAACAUAUGUGUAAGUAACUGUGCACAUCUUGACGGUACCUAAUCAGAAAGCCACGGCUAACUACGU
RNAcentral lists this ribosomal RNA (496 nucleotides) under uncultured bacterium. RNAcentral's name for it is "partial 16S ribosomal RNA". It matches the Rfam family "Bacterial small subunit ribosomal RNA", at positions 28 to 506 of the family's 1533-position model. The record is from RNAcentral.